UCGAUUGUGUCUGGAAGUAGUAGCAAGCUAAUGUAACAGUUGUUAAAGUACUAUGUGAAUUUCACCAGGUUCAUAUAUCAACAUGUUGUGUUGAUUUGUUAUUCAUGCCUGCAUCCUGGAAGAAGGGGAGUGUGUCCUUACGUUUUGCCCGGCGUGCUCGUGCUCAAAUCAUGUUGAUGCACUGAGAGAGAAAGAGGCGACGAUUCUCAGAACAGAUGUGCUCUACAAAUGUUUUAUUUCCUUUUGGAUGCAGGUAUGUGGUUUUAUCAAUGUAAAAUAUGUUAUGUAUAAUAAGGAGAGAGUGUAUUAAUUUUUGUAUUCCAAAAUCAUUUCGAUGCACUGAGAGAGAAAGAGGCGACGAUUCUCAGAACAGAUGUGCUCUACAAAUGUUUUAUUGCCUUUUGGAUGCAGAUGCAGAGAGCCAGUUCUGCUUGAUUAAAACUACCUGAUCUCCA
Oncorhynchus mykiss (rainbow trout) is the source of this 455-nucleotide long non-coding RNA. RefSeq lists it as uncharacterized. NCBI's taxonomy places the organism in Eukaryota, Metazoa, Chordata, Actinopteri, Salmoniformes, Salmonidae. The record is from RefSeq and is a predicted model, not a curated record.